Molecule: ribosomal RNA, 253 nt
Filed under: uncultured bacterium
Lineage: Bacteria
Description: partial 16S ribosomal RNA
Rfam family: Bacterial small subunit ribosomal RNA
Source: RNAcentral
UACGUAGGGGGCGAGCGUUGUCCGGAUUUAUUGGGCGUAAAGAGCGUGUAGGCGGCCAGAUAGGUCAGCUGUGAAAACUCGAGGCUCAACCUCGAGAUGUCGGCUGAAACCAUCUGGCUAGAGUCCGGAAGAGGAGAAUGGAAUUCCCGGUGUAGCGGUGAAAUGCGCAGAUAUCGGGAAGAACACCCGUGGCGAAGGCGGUUCUCUGGGACGGUACUGACGCUGAGACGCGAAAGCGUGGGGAGCAAACAGG